UUCUCUCUUUUAUCGGGAGCAACGAAGAGUCCACUCCAAUCUCUCUCUUCCCCAACGGCGGCUGAUAAGGACUAACGAAGAAAGGACAGGACGAUAAGAUGUACUAUUCAGAAGCUAACCUCAUCGGCUAUCUUCCUCUCGAUCGUUGCAAGUUAUAGAAAUUAAGUUCGCGCUCACCAGCCCUUCCGCUGACCAUGUGAUUCCUCCCGCUCAAUUAAUAGACCGGUUCAUGCCGAAAAAUAUGUCUUUCAAAAAAUGAGUUUCGUUCUGGUGAAAAAUGUCUGUCUAUCGUAUCAGCUAGAAUUUUGAAUACGCCCAUUUUUUGGUCCGGAUUGUAGUCUGCAAUAACUCCUGGUAGCUUAAAAGCAAUGUCCUGCAGCUGCGAGCCUCUAAGACGAUGGAUCCCAGAAGUAAGUGCUUCUACUGCCAAAACAUCACCUUCUAACCAACAAUUGUCCAACACCAGGGAAAAUACCAAGCCAUAAGAUGGCUACGUAUGAGAAUUUCCGGAAUACCGGAAAAGGACAUGGCAUACCACCCUCACCGCUACAUUAGGCGCAUGUGGAAGGACUUCACCCACAGUGAGACCCAUUCAACAGAAGAUACUAGAAGAAGAGGUAGCUGUAGGUGCCCAUGAAAUAAAUGAGGAGGAAACCAUCGGGGGCGAAUUCAACCUGCCCUACGAUCGUAAAAAAAACUAUGGCGGAGGAUACACAGUACCUGAAGAAAACAACCCAAAACAAGAAAAAAAUACAGCUAUGAACUAAGCAAAAAAAAAUGAGGAAAUUGAUAUGGGAAUUUGAACAAAAGGCCGUGCAUACCGAGAGAGGAGAACACUCGAAGCACGGGAAUUCGUGUUGGAGCAACAGAAAAAAUCAGAAAGGAAGAAAGACAAAAACUAAGCGCACUACGUUACUUAAAAUUAGACUUACUUUUUUUUUAUAAUAUAUUUUGUAUCAGACCCACUACUAGACCGAAACUCUACCUUUGUUCGAGUGGGAUACCUAAUAAUUUUUAAUUUCAUACUGCAUCGAAAGUUUUACUUAAGUUAGAUUUCCUCUUGCUUCGCAUUGGAAAAAUACUCUUACGACUAUAAAAAUGAAUCCGAAAAUCAUGUCAAAGAAAAACAUCAGGUUUUCAAUACGGUUUAUUACAUUAAAACAAACGCUUCAUGUAACGCGAAAGGUUGCAAUAAAAUCCAAACUUUCUAUGUUUAACAAAA
Belonocnema kinseyi is the source of this 1222-nucleotide long non-coding RNA. RefSeq lists it as uncharacterized. The record is from RefSeq and is a predicted model, not a curated record. The transcript is spliced from 3 exons. NCBI's taxonomy places the organism in Eukaryota, Metazoa, Arthropoda, Insecta, Hymenoptera, Cynipidae.